Molecule: ribosomal RNA, 140 nt
Filed under: uncultured eukaryote
Lineage: Eukaryota
Description: partial 18S ribosomal RNA
Rfam family: Eukaryotic small subunit ribosomal RNA
Source: RNAcentral
UGGUGGAGUGAUUUGUCUGGUUAAUUCCGUUAACGAACGAGACCUCGACCUGCUAAAUAGAGCGACGAAUCCUUGUGAUUCGUUGGUACUUCCUAGAGGGACUGUUGGUGCCUAGCCAAUGGAAGUUCGAGGCAAUAACA